UACGUAGGGGGCUAGCGUUGUUCGGAAUUACUGGGCGUAAAGCGCACGUAGGCGGCUUGUUAAGUCGGGGGUGAAAUCCUGGAGCUCAACUCCAGAACUGCCUUCGAUACUGGCGAUCUCGAGUUCGGGAGAGGUGAGUGGAACUGCGAGUGUAGAGGUGAAAUUCGUAGAUAUUCGCAAGAACACCAGUGGCGAAGGCGGCUCACUGGCCCGAUACUGACGCUGAGGUGCGAAAGCGUGGGGAGCAAACAGG
RNAcentral lists this ribosomal RNA (253 nucleotides) under uncultured bacterium. RNAcentral describes it as "partial 16S ribosomal RNA". It matches the Rfam family "Bacterial small subunit ribosomal RNA", at positions 524 to 776 of the family's 1533-position model. The record is from RNAcentral.